AACUGAACCCUGCAAUGGACCUGCAGGCUUGAAGAAAGGGGACACACACUAAAUGUUCAUUUUAAUCACAGCUCACAUGAAGUGAACUAAAGGAGGAGCAUUAAAACAAUCUAUACCCCCAAGCAGGGUUAAUUUCACCAAAUAUCCAUAUUCGAAGGAUUUAGACAGCUAUAAUUUUGGAGAUUUAAUGGACUGAAACAAUUCAGAUGACUAAAGUACGACUGAAA
Non-coding RNA from Pelobates cultripes (western spadefoot toad), 227 nucleotides. Lineage: Eukaryota; Metazoa; Chordata; Amphibia; Anura; Pelobatidae. The record is from the annotation of a GenBank genome assembly.